Mercurialis annua (annual mercury) is the source of this 1473-nucleotide RNA transcript. RefSeq lists it as uncharacterized. The record is from RefSeq and is a predicted model, not a curated record. The transcript has 4 exons. NCBI's taxonomy places the organism in Eukaryota, Viridiplantae, Streptophyta, Magnoliopsida, Malpighiales, Euphorbiaceae.
UUCCACACAUGGAAAAUGCAAACUGUUCGACUCUGCUUCUUCUUGCUGAUGGAAUUGCUAACAAAAUUGAUGAAAAUGAAGUCCCUCAAACAUGCAAAACCCCUCCUUCAAUUCCCAUCUUUCAUACAACAAAAAUCCUACACUUCAAUACCAUUACUAUGUCCAACUCAAGAACUACAAACCACCACCACCACCUUAAAACUAACAAACCAAGAACUCACCAAAAUCAACCUCCUAAUCCCACGCUUAUGUCUCUCAGACAAUCUAACAACAGCAACCCACUUAACAACCACUGCCCUUCUCACAAACCCACCACACAGCUCAAUCUCUCUCUCAAUUCUCGUCCACUCACUCACUUCCCAACCCGACAUGACCCAACCCAUGUCGCUCCUCACCACUCUCAGACACUCCCCACAAGCCCACAACCAUCUCACACCCAUCACAACCAUGCUUGUGAUGUCCUAUGUUAGAAAGAAGAGGGUAAAAGAGGCGUUUAAAGUGUAUCAAUGGAUGACUCGACCUGGGUCUCCUUGUAAAGUGGAAAAGAUUGUUUUUUUGGGUUUGGUUGAUGGGUUUUGUGAGUUGGGUUUGGUGGUGGAUGGUUUGAGGGUUUUGAGGGAUAUGGUUGGUGUGGGGUUUGUUCCUGGAGAUGGGUUGAGGAGAAGGGUUUUUAGGAAGAUGUUGAUGGAGGCUAGAGUGAAGGAGGGUUUGGAAUUGGAUAAAGCUUUGUGCUUUUGUGCUAAUGGUGGGGUUGAUGGGAUUGUUAAAGUUAGAGAUUUGUUGGAUAAUAUCAUUGGCAACUGGACAGAGUAGGAACAGAGUACAAUGCGACUUCAAGAGAAUCUAUGUUCCUCCUUUCCUUUACGAGUUCUUCUAUUUUAGCAGCUGUAUCGUGCCAUUCAAAGAAUGUUUAGGUUUUCACAUUGUAUUCAUAUAUCAAAAGAGUAGCAAACCCAUUCAUCUGUAUCUCUAACCUGUUGUUCUUAGUUAUUGGACUUGAAUGGCACUAAUGAUUGUUGACAUAUGUGUUGCACCAGAACUUAUGGAGUGGAAGUAUGCCAAAAAUGUAGAGAUAACUCUUUCCAUAAUCCGUUGGCGGGAAUAUAUUGAAAUUUGAAGCAUACUUCAGCUGCCCAACAGUCCAACGGAUGGGACCGUAUGAUUUUGCAGCUUCUUUUUGGCAGACAUUUUUUCAUGUACUAUUAUCAACCAUGAAUCUGGAAGGUAAACAUAUGGAAGAACAUUUUCUGCGAAACAAUUCCGGUCUGAGGUAAACCAUUUUUGUCUUUGAACAAAAUGGUUAAUCCACAUCUGUAUUUUGGUUUAGCCACCAGGCUCUGCAGUUGCCUGGAGUAAGAGAUGUUAUUUAUGCCUGCCAAGUUGAAUUACUUCUUGUGAUUAUUGUUUGUAGCAUUACCAUUUAUAAUGACUUUGAUGGGUUUAAAUACAUUAUUGAGGUCGCUGAUUUUUUAA